UGAUGUCAUGAUUGGCAGCUUUGUUGACAAAUGUGGGCACCUGCAUCGUUCUGUGCCAGAUCAGCAGAGUGGAAGAGGAAUGGUAAAAGAAAACAUUGCGAACAACCAAACAUGAAUGUUAGCUUCAAAUCAACACAGGAAUCUGUUGUGCUGUGGAUUGUACCCAUCUGGGGCAGAAUUCAAUGUGUUAAGGCCACACAGCCCUGCAGCGGUCCACUGGGAGCCUGAGGAUGCUUGGUGGCCUUCCUCCAGGUUUCCUGUCUCCUGACUCAGCACCAGCUGUGCACACCAGCAGGAAAAAGAAAAAGCAAAGGGUUGUGAUGAUGGGGCUCCAACUGACCAGCAGCCUCUUCUCUGCUGCGGCAGACAACAUGAUGAGUAACACUGUGACUUAUCCCC
This is a long non-coding RNA of Notolabrus celidotus (New Zealand spotty), 399 nucleotides long. RefSeq lists it as uncharacterized. The transcript is spliced from 3 exons. NCBI's taxonomy places the organism in Eukaryota, Metazoa, Chordata, Actinopteri, Labriformes, Labridae. The record is from RefSeq and is a predicted model, not a curated record.